Molecule: long non-coding RNA, 220 nt
Organism: Haliotis rubra (blacklip abalone)
Lineage: Eukaryota; Metazoa; Mollusca; Gastropoda; Lepetellida; Haliotidae
Exons: 3
Source: RefSeq, a predicted model, not a curated record
ACCCUAGAUCUAAGUGCCGGUGUUAGUCUAGGUCUAGGUGCCAGUGUAACCCUAUCUCUAAGUGCUGGUGUAAGCCAAGGUCUAGGUGCCAGUGUAACCCUAGAUCUAAGUGCUGGUGUAAGCCAAGGUCUAGGUGCCAGUGUAACCCUAGAUCUAAGUGCCGGUGUUAGUCUAGGUCUAGGUGUCAGUGUAACCCUAUCUCUAAGUGCCGGUGUCACCC